ACUUUUGUCAGUAAAGCAUUUGUCACAUUCACUGCAUUUGUAAGGUUUCUCUCCUGUAUGAAUUUUCUGAUGAAUUCUAAGACUACUUUUGUCAGUAAAGCAUUUGUCACAUUCACUGCAUUUGUAAGGUUUCUCGCCUGUAUGAAUUUUCUGAUGAAUUCUAAGACUACUUUUGUCAGUAAAG
Molecule: long non-coding RNA, 184 nt
Organism: Apodemus sylvaticus (European woodmouse)
Lineage: Eukaryota; Metazoa; Chordata; Mammalia; Rodentia; Muridae
Exons: 3
Source: RefSeq, a predicted model, not a curated record